Molecule: ribosomal RNA, 207 nt
Filed under: uncultured bacterium
Lineage: Bacteria
Description: partial 16S ribosomal RNA
Rfam family: Bacterial small subunit ribosomal RNA
Source: RNAcentral
CUCGUAGGCGGUUCGUCGCGUCCGGUGUGAAAGUCCAUCGCUUAACGGUGGAUCCGCGCCGGGUACGGGCGGGCUUGAGUGCGGUAGGGGAGACUGGAAUUCCCGGUGUAACGGUGGAAUGUGUAGAUAUUGGGAAGAACACCAAUGGCGAAGGCAGGUCUCUGGGCCGUUACUGACGCUGAGGAGCGAAAGCGUGGGGAGCGAACA